GACGAACGCUGGCGGCGUGCUUAACACAUGCAAGUCGAACGGAAAGGCCCUGCUUUUGUGGGGUGCUCGAGUGGCGAACGGGUGAGUAACACGUGAGUAACCUGCCCUUGACUUUGGGAUAACUUCAGGAAACUGGGGCUAAUACCGGAUAGGAGCUCCUGCUGCAUGGUGGGGGUUGGAAAGUUUCGGCGGUUGGGGAUGGACUCGCGGCUUAUCAGCUUGUUGGUGGGGUAGUGGCUUACCAAGGCUUUGACGGGUAGCCGGCCUGAGAGGGUGACCGGCCACAUUGGGACUGAGAUACGGCCCAGACUCCUACGGGAGGCAGCAGUGGGGAAUAUUGCACAAUGGGCGGAAGCCUGAUGCAGCAACGCCGCGUGCGGGAUGACGGCCUUCGGGUUGUAAACCGCUUUCGCCUGUGACGAAGCGUGAGUGACGGUAAUGGGUAAAGAAGCACCGGCUAACUACGUGCCAGCAGCCGCGGUGAUACGUAGGGUGCGAGCGUUGUCCGGAUUUAUUGGGCGUAAAGGGCUCGUAGGUGGUUGAUCGCGUCGGAAGUGUAAUCUUGGGGCUUAACCCUGAGCGUGCUUUCGAUACGGGUUGACUUGAGGAAGGUAGGGGAGAAUGGAAUUCCUGGUGGAGCGGUGGAAUGCGCAGAUAUCAGGAGGAACACCAGUGGCGAAGGCGGUUCUCUGGGCCUUUCCUGACGCUGAGGAGCGAGAGCGUGGGGAGCGAACAGGCUUAGAUACCCUGGUAGUCCACGCUGUAAACGGUGGGUACUAGGUGUGGGGUCCAUUCCACGGGUUCCGUGCCGUAGCUAACGCUUUAAGUACCCCGCCUGGGGAGUACGGCCGCAAGGCUAAAACUCAAAGGAAUUGACGGGGCCCCGCACAAGCGGCGGAGCAUGCGGAUUAAUUCGAUGCAACGCGUAGAACCUUACCUGGGUUUGACAUGGAUCGGGAGUGCUCAGAGAUGGGUGUGCCUCUUUUGGGGUCGGUUCACAGGUGGUGCAUGGCUGUCGUCAGCUCGUGUCGUGAGAUGUUGGGUUAAGUCCCGCAACGAGCGCAACCCUUGUUCACUGUUGCCAGCACGUUAUGGUGGGGACUCAGUGGAGACCGCCGGGGUCAACUCGGAGGAAAGUGGGGAUGACGUCAAGUCAUCAUGCCCCUUAUGUCCAGGGCUUCACGCAUGCUACAAUGGCUGGUACAGAGAGUGGCGAGCCUGUGAGGGUGAGCGAAUCUCGGAAAGCCGGUCUCAGUUCGGAUUGGGGUCUGCAACUCGACCUCAUGAAGUCGGAGUCGCUAGUAAUCGCAGAUCAGCAACGCUGCGGUGAAUACGUUCCCGGG
RNAcentral lists this ribosomal RNA (1343 nucleotides) under uncultured bacterium. RNAcentral's name for it is "16S ribosomal RNA". It matches the Rfam family "Bacterial small subunit ribosomal RNA", at positions 28 to 1378 of the family's 1533-position model. The record is from RNAcentral.